RNAcentral lists this ribosomal RNA (497 nucleotides) under uncultured bacterium. RNAcentral describes it as "partial 16S ribosomal RNA". It matches the Rfam family "Bacterial small subunit ribosomal RNA", at positions 28 to 507 of the family's 1533-position model. The record is from RNAcentral.
GAUGAACGCUGGCGGCGUGCCUAAUACAUGCAAGUCGAGCGAACGGACGAGAAGCUUGCUUCUCUGAUGUUAGCGGCGGACGGGUGAGUAACACGUGGAUAACCUACCUAUAAGACUGGGAUAACGUCGGGAAACCGGAGCUAAUACCGGAUAAUAUUUUGAACCGCAUGGUUCAAAAGUGAAAGACGGUCUUGCUGUCACUUAUAGAUGGAUCCGCGCUGCAUUAGCUAGUUGGUAAGGUAACGGCUUACCAAGGCAGCGAUGCAUAGCCGACCUGAGAGGGUGAUCGGCCACACUGGAACUGAGACACGGUCCAGACUCCUACGGGAGGCAGCAGUAGGGAAUCUUCCGCAAUGGGCGAAAGCCUGACGGUGCAACGCCGCGUGAGUGAUGAAGGUCUUCGGAUCGUAAAGCUCUGUUAUUAGGGAAGAACAUAUGUGUAAGUAACUGUGCACAUCUUGACGGUACCUAAUCAGAAAGCCACGGCUAACUACGUG